RNAcentral lists this ribosomal RNA (227 nucleotides) under uncultured bacterium. RNAcentral's name for it is "partial 16S ribosomal RNA". It matches the Rfam family "Bacterial small subunit ribosomal RNA", at positions 122 to 334 of the family's 1533-position model. The record is from RNAcentral.
CAACCUGCCCUUCAGAGGGGACAACAGUUGGAAACGACUGCUAAUACCGCAUACGAUCUGACCUCGGCAUCGAGGAUAGAUGAAAGGUGGCCUCUAUUUAUAAGCUAUCACUGAAGGAGGGGAUUGCGUCUGAUUAGCUAGUUGGAGGGGUAACGGCCCACCAAGGCGGUGAUCAGUAGCCGGUCUGAGAGGAUGAACGGCCACAUUGGGACUGAGACACGGCCCAG